Molecule: ribosomal RNA, 6702 nt
Filed under: Triticum aestivum (bread wheat)
Lineage: Eukaryota; Viridiplantae; Streptophyta; Magnoliopsida; Poales; Poaceae
Description: partial small subunit ribosomal RNA
Source: RNAcentral
AUGUCGCACCCCGGCAAAUUUGUAUCCGUUAACCUCAACCGAUCGUACGGCCAGUCCGCCCAAUCCCAAAGUGGCGGCCGCCCCUCCCGCCCCGCUGCCCCCUCUGCCGGCGGCGGCGGUGGCAUGGUGGUGCUUUCCCGCGGUCGCGGCUCCUCCUCUAUGGCCAAGCCGCAGCAGCCCAAGCUCUCCGUACCGCCGCCUCUGAACCUCCCCUCGCUCCGCAAGGAGCACGAGCGCUUCGAGGGCGCGACCGUCACUGCAGGCGGUGGGGUCGCCUCAGCCCCGCCCCGAUCCGGCGGGGCCGUGGCUGGGUGGAUGAAGCCUGCUCCGGCAUCCGAGAAGCCACUGGGCUCGAUACCGGCUCCUAGUGGCGUUUCCAGGCCCCCGUCGUAUGGAUUCCAGGAGAAAGCUGUCGUCUUGCGGGGCGAGGACUUCCCUUCUCUUAAAGCAGCGGUGGCGCCACCACCUCCGCCACUCGUGCAGCAUCGCCAGAAAGACCUUUAUGGGGCUCAAGCCGCCAUGCCGGAGACACAGCCGAUGCCCCUGGGCAUGCGACCACAUGUGAUGCCCUCGCGUGGUGCUGAGCCCUUGGCUUCUGUUGGCGUCACAGGUACUGGUCUCCAUGGUUCAGUGGAGAAAGUGCAAACUCAUGAUUUGGGGCCGCUGCCACUGGUGCGGCUUAGGUAUGAUGCUGAUUGGGCUGAUGAUGAGCGUGAUACAGUGCUGAGUCUCCCAGAUCGCGACAGUAAAGAGAGGGGAUUUGGUAGGAUCGAGACCAUGGUUCCAGGGCGCGACCUUUAUGGCGUGACGAUGGAGCACUUAAAAAAUGAGUCCUGUGGGAGAGAUUCCAUUGCUCCCAAUAAAGAGGGCGGGCAAGAUGGUUUGUGGCGAUCUCCUAGGCCAAGCCACAAUGUGGAGAAGACAGAUGGUCGUCCUUACAGUGCAGGCAAAGGAAGCGGACAAUUACUUUACCAUGAAGGCAUUACUGAUGGUGCCUCCAAGGAUUUGUGCAAUACUAGUAAGGAUCCUGCUGUGCGAGCCUAUGGACAGAUUGGGACUGAACUGCAUGGAAGCGCACAUGUUGGGGAAACUGCAGGUGAAUGUUACAAUGAUAAUUCUAAUAACUGGUACAGAGGGAAGUCUUUCCAGAAUAAUCCUGUUUCCAAGGUGAUGCCAUAUCUUGGUAAUAAGGGACCUUUAGUUAAUGAGCUGGGAACAAAAUUUGGCAGGGAUAAGUGGCUCGCUGGAGUCCCUGUAAGGCCUUUAGUUGAGCAUACCGGUUUUGAUAGCAUUUCUGCCGUUAGUUUCAGUUCAAUAAAGAAGAAAAAAGAAACAACCAAACCAUCAGAUUUCCAUGAUCCAGUAAGGGAGUCAUUUGAGGCUGAGCUCGAUAGGAUCUUGAGGGUACAAGAGCAAGAGAGACAGCGGGUAGUGGAAGAACAGGCCAGAGUCAGAGAAAUCGCUCGGAAACAAGAUGAGGAGAGGGAGAAGCUGAUAAGAGAGGAGGAGGAAAGGCGGCGGUUGGUGGAAGAUGAGACAAGACAGGCUGUUUGGCAAGCCGAGCAAGAGACGCUGGAAGCUGCUAGAAGAGUUGAGGAGCAGAGAAUUGCUAGGGAGGAAGAGAAGACAAGGGUUGCUAUGGAGGAGGAGCGGCGUAGAGAAGCCGCACGUCAAAAGCUCCUGGAAUUGGAGGCAAGGAUUGCUAGACGGCGAGCCGAAUCAAACAUGAGCGAUGGAAAUCUUACUUCAGCUGCCAAUGAUGAACAAACACUUGGAGCCUUGAAAGAUAGAGAUGUGUCACGGUACAAUAAUGCUGGUGAAAGACAUGAUAUUAGCAGACUGGGUGAGCGCAUCAAUACCUCCAUGUCAUCGGUGGCUUCCAGUCUCAACCGGUACAGUGAUACAGUUCCAAGGGCGGUCAACACUAUGGGAGAUGGACACUCAGGCUUGGUUGAUAGAGAACACGCGUACCACAGUGCGAGGGCUGCAUUUGAAGACCAAGAAAAUCUACAUUACAGUCCACGGUGCGACACUUUGGGUACUAAGAGGGGAAGCUUCCCUAAAAAAGAUUCUUAUGAUGGAUUUCGGGCAUCGCUAGUCGGGCCAUCUUCGAGAGACCAAAUCAAUGAUUCAUCAUGGGCACUGGAAGAUUAUAGUCAAGGAAGAGUUCCAGGGUGGGAUGCACCGAGGGGGAAUAACUGUUUUGACAAGCAGUCUGAAUUUGACACUCAUUUUUUCAAUAGUGAUAGGUUUGGAGAUGCUACAUGGCUGCCUAGUGGUUCCUACGGAAGCUCCAAUGCUCAACAAGGAGAGAGAAUGUUCCAGAACUCCGGGCCUAAUGAUUUCUCCUCUUUUACAAAAUCCUGCUACCCUAUGCGGCAACCACGUGUACCCCCCCCACCUGUUGUGACCUCAAUGCAUGGAAGUGCAAUUAGUGCUUCUAUUCAACGUGCCAAUUCAUCUUUCAUUCAUGAUGUAAUGGGAGAGAGCUCCAGUAGAGAUGAUGAACAAACUAUGCACAGCCAAUAUGGUAGUGCAUACCAAGAGGUAUCCCGCCAGCAUGGGACACCUGCUGAAGGCAUUGUUGUCAAUGAGCAGCAAAAUGGGGACAGGGCGAGCCCUGUCUUGGGCUCACAAUCUUCUCUUUGUGUUUCAAGCCCUCCUAGAUCACCUCCACAUGUUUCACAUGACGAGAUGGAUGUUUCUGGUGAUUCGCCUGCACUGCCAACUUCUGCUGAUGGUUAUCGUACUGUGGUAUCUGAUAAUGACCAAGCGGCUUCAACUUUAGAUGCAGCAAACAUAAGCAGAAUCGCCACCUCAAGCACGGCUUCUCACAUGGAGGAUGAUGAAUGGCCAAGUGAACACAAUGAAUCCAAGCAAAAACAGGAUGUGUAUGAUGAGGAAGGCAAUAGCUACCAAGAAGAUGAAAUCAAUGAUGGCGAUGGUCAUACUCUUGACUUGGCUAAUGAGUUCACAGACGUGCAUCUUGACUUGGAUGAUGAGUUUGCAGAGGAACAUAAUACAACUGCAGAAAUGGAGCCAGUUAUACUUGGAUUUGAUCAGGGUGUACAGGUUGAAAUUCCCCUGAAUAGUGAGCUUGAAUUAACUUCUGUGAAGAGCACAGAACUGGAAGUUGGUGUACACUCGGGCGUCGUGGAGCAAGAGUUGAGAUGUGGUUCAGUUGAUCCUUGUGACCUUGUUACGCUUCAAGACUUAGCUCUUGAUCAAACAAAUCCCUUGACCGAUGAAUCCAAUGUUGAUCCAUCCGGUAGCACAGCUGUGCCAAGUUCCAAGUUACCUGAGGCAUCUUUUGCCCUGCCUAUUGAUUCAUCAACAUCAGCAGUAAUUGACCAGAAUGAAGUUCCUGUUAGUCUGCAGUUCGGUUUGUUUUCCAGGUCAUCUUUAAUACCAACUCCGGUUCGAGCCAUUCAGAUUGGCUCCAUACAGAUGCCGAUCCAUCUCCACAAUCAGAUUAACCCAUCCCUGGCUCAACUGCUCCCUUCAUCAGCUCCUUUAUUCAAGUUUGGUCAGUUGAGGCAUGUCCGCCCUAUUGCCCAGAAUGUUCGACCACAUUCUCAGGCAGUGCCUUCCGUUCAGCCCCCCGCACCAUCUCCACAUAUAUCGAAACAGAAUGGUUCGAGUGGUAUACCCAAUGAGAUGGAUCCAAAUGUAAACCAGAAUACCCCAAGAGAAUCAAAUUUGCAUCAGCGCAAUGAAUCUGAAAUCAACCGGAUGGCUGAUUUAAAUGAAUUUCACAGCCGAUUAGACAGAACUUCAAUUGAAGAAAAUGCAUCUUUUGGACUUUCAAAAGGUGAUUCUCAGAGGAAUAAUGAUCUCUCCUCAAAGCGGAAUCACAAAUCUUCUUUCAAUAACGCAGAAUCUUCUCAAGUUGGUUCAUAUGGGAAAGCCUUGAGUGGCCUAAAGGCAGGCGCUGUAUCUGGUGGAAGUGGGAGGAGAUACGGUUAUGCUGUUAAAGAAUCUAAUAUGGGAUCAACAGGCACAGCUGUUGAACCUUUUCAUAAAGAUUCCAGAGGAUUCCAGAGAAGGUCUCGUAGGAACAUAAGAAGAACUGAAUUUAGAGUGCGGGCAAAUGUUGAGAAGAACGAAGCCCUAGCUUCUGAGUGCCACGAUGAGCAGAAUGAGAAUCUGGUUUCCAAUCGAUUGGCAAGGGAGAUUCUGGUGAGAAAUGUGAACAGAAAGGAAGGUACAAAUGAAGCAAGUGAUAUUAAUGGAGCAGAUUCUUCAUCUACAUCUGCUCAUUAUUAUAGUAAAACAGAGAGAAUCGCACAGAAGGCUCCAUCUUAUGACAGGUCUCAUUGUGGGUACACAGAAUCUAGAGCAGGUGGUAUCCCCGAGGGAGACGCUAAUACCUCGUUACAUGCUGGAGUUGUACGCAUCGUUAGGCAGCAAGGCGUUGAAAUGCCUGCUGAUGCAGAUGGUUUCAUUGAAGUCAGGUCCAAGAAGCAGAUCAUGAGUGUCAGGAGAGAGCAGAGGGAGAAAGAAAAUAGAUCCAAAAUAAGGAUGGCAAAGGCUCCCCGCAAGCAGCAUCAAAUGUCUCUACACAGUUUUAGCAGUUCAAGUAUUUAUAAGGGGACAGUUUCUUUCGGUGGGGAACCUGCGAAGAAAGUUUCUUCGGGUUCUGUCCUUGGAGUUGAAGGAAGGGUCCUUGAUCACACCGAACCAUCAUCUUCAUUCAUGGGUGAUACAGCUUCAAUUACACCCAUAGGGCGGCCACCUUCAGCCAACACAGGACCUCGUACAAACUACCAUGCAAAGAAGCCUAUCCGAAGCCAGGCAACCUCCGACUUGAUAACUUCUAGUACCGCAACAAAGCUUGUGGCAUGCUUAUCAGAAAGCAAUAAUAAAACAUUGUCCAUUGGCACAAACAUGGGCAACUGGGAUAGUUCACAAAUGAACCAGCAGGUUAUGCCAUUAACUCAAAUUCAACUUGAGGAAGCAAUGAAACCAGCAAAGUUUGAACAAGGAGGUUCUGGCUUUCCUUUGGAGUCCAAUAAUGCUCUAUCUCCUACAGUAACCACGGACAUGGCAUACACAUCUGCUAGCCCUAUCAAUUCUCUUUUGGCUGGGGAGAAGAUUCAGUUUGGGGCAGUUACCUCGCCAACCGUACUGGCUCCCAUCACCCGAACAAUUUCAAAAGGGCUUGGUGCUCCAGGUUCAUCUUGGCCUGAAAUGAAGAUUGACCGAAAUUUGCGUGGUGAUAACAGUAGUGCUGCUGUUUUGUUCGAUAAGGAGAAGGCUACUACUAAAGAUCAAUGUUCAAACUCAGAGGAGGUUGAAGCUCAAGCUGAGGCUGAAGCAGCUGCUUCUGCUGUGGCUGUUGCAGCUAUUUGUACUGAUGAGGCAGUUGGAACUGCAGCUUCUGCUUCAGACAAAAAUAGCUUUAGCAGUAAGGAUCUCACUGGGUUAACAGCCGGAGGGGCAAUAACAGGUCAACCUGGUCAAUCAUCUAGAGAGGAGCUACUGACGGUUGCCCUUCCAGCAGACCUGUCAGUUGACACUCCGUCAAUGCCCCUGUGGCCUUCUUUACCAAGCCCACAGGUGCCAGGGCCAACGCUUUCUCAGUUCCCCAUUGCACAGCCGUCCCACUUCUCUUGCUUCGAGAUGAACACAAUGUUAGGAGGACAUCCUUUUGCAUUUGGGCCAAGUGAUGAAUCUGCCGGCACUUUGGGUCAACAGCCUCAAAGAAGCAACGCUUUGCCUUCAGCACAGUUGGGUGCUUGGCCAUCUAUGGUGGAUUCAUUUUAUCGCCCCCCUACUGGAUUCGCUGGUCCUUUCAUUAGCCCUGGAGGAAUCCCAGGCAUGCAAGGUCCUCCACAUAUGGUGGUCUACAACCACUUUGCCCCACUUGGGCAAUUUGGUCAAAUGGGGCUUGGUUUUAUGGGAGCCACUUACAUUCCUGGUGACAAGCAGCCUGAUUGGAAGCAAAACCAAGGACCUUCUGUUGGCAUCAGCCAGAGUGAUCCAAGCAACCAAAGUGUGCUACCUGGUCAAGUAACCUCACCCAGUUUUCCUACUCAAGUGCCGCAUCUACGUGCAACUUCUAUCAUGCCAAUCCCAUCCCCGCUGACAAUGUUUGACAUGGCUUCGUUCCAGUCAUCUGCGAAAAUACAGGUGCAACCUUGUUGGCCACGUGUGCCUAUGCACUCUGUCCCGUUAUCAGUGCAACUGCAACCGCAUCCAAUAGAUGGUACAGUGGCAUCACAGUAUGUUGAUAAUGUGGUAAUUGACAAGUCAAGUACAAAUGAGCGGUUCCAGGAGCCCUCAACAUCAGAUAGCAACAAGAGUUUCCCAAGUAUAGCUGCCUCCCAGUCGUCGGAUGUUAAACAGCCAGCCUCAAGCAGUUCAGAUGCUCGAACUGCUGAGCCUUCAUUUGUCCGGAAAGGUGUGAUCGGCAAUGAAGUCCCAAAUAGCAACCCCAAGUCUGGUCAAGUUGCCAAGAUGCCCUCCAAGCCACACCAGUCUUCAUUACCAUCGGAUCAACAGUUCAAGCAUUCAGUUAAUAAUAAUCAGGAUCGUCUGGCCAGGGUUACCCAAAGGGCUGGAACUGUGAAUGAAUGGCAACGUCGGUCAGGAUAUCCCGGGAGGAGCUCUGGUUCCAACAAGAAAUAUGGCACUGGUAGGGUGAAGCAGAUCUAUGUUGCCAAAUCGUCAUCAAAAAGUAGCCAGGCCCCAUCAAGCUAA